GACGAACGCUGGCGGCGUGCCUAACACAUGCAAGUCGAACGGAGAUAUACGCUGAUGAUUUAGCUUGCUAUUGAUUCUUGUGUAUCUUAGUGGCGGACGGGUGAGUAACGCGUGAGCAACCUGCCUUUCAGAGGGGGAUAACGUUUGGAAACGAACGCUAAUACCGCAUGAUAUUAUUGGACCGCAUGGUCUGAUAAUCAAAGGAGCAAUCCGCUGAAAGAUGGGCUCGCGUCCGAUUAGGUAGUUGGCGGGGUAACGGCCCACCAAGCCGACGAUCGGUAGCCGGACUGAGAGGUUGAACGGCCACAUUGGGACUGAGACACGGCCCAG
Molecule: ribosomal RNA, 330 nt
Filed under: uncultured bacterium
Lineage: Bacteria
Description: bacterial SSU rRNA
Rfam family: Bacterial small subunit ribosomal RNA
Source: RNAcentral